GACGAACGCUGGCGGCGUGCUUAACACAUGCAAGUCGAGCGGUAAGGCCCUUCGGGGUACACGAGCGGCGAACGGGUGAGUAACACGUGAGCAACCUGCCCCUGACUCUGGGAUAAGCGGUGGAAACGCCGUCUAAUACCGGAUACGACCUUCCGCCUCAUGGUGGAGGGUGGAAAGUUUUUUCGGUCAGGGAUGGGCUCGCGGCCUAUCAGCUUGUUGGUGGGGUAACGGCCUACCAAGGCGAUUACGGGUAGCCGGCCUGAGAGGGCGACCGGCCACACUGGGACUGAGACACGGCCCAGACUCCUGCGGGAGGCAGCAGUGGGGAAUAUUGCGCAAUGGGCGAAAGCCUGACGCAGCGACGCCGCGUGGGGGAUGACGGCCUUCGGGUUGUAAACCUCUUUUACCACCAACGCAGGCUCCGGGUUCUCUCGGGGUUGACGGUAGGUGGGGAAUAAGGACCGGCUAACUACGUGCCAGCAGCCGCGGUAAUACGUAGGGUCCGAGCGUUGUCCGGAAUUAUUGGGCGUAAAGAGCUCGUAGGCGGCGUGUCGCGUCUGCUGUGAAAGACCGGGGCUUAACUCCGGUUCUGCAGUGGAUACGGGCAUGCUAGAGGUAGGUAGGGGAGACUGGAAUUCCUGGUGUAGCGGUGAAAUGCGCAGAUAUCAGGAGGAACACCGGUGGCGAAGGCGGGUCUCUGGGCCUUACCUGACGCUGAGGAGCGAAAGCAUGGGGAGCGAACAGGAUUAGAUACCCUGGUAGUCCAUGCCGUAAACGUUGGGCGCUAGGUGUGGGGACUUUCCACGGUUUCCGCGCCGUAGCUAACGCAUUAAGCGCCCCGCCUGGGGAGUACGGCCGCAAGGCUAAAACUCAAAGGGAAUUGACGGGGGCCCGCACAAGCGGCGGAGCAUGUUGCUUAAUUCGACGCAACGCGAAGAACCUUACCAAA
Molecule: ribosomal RNA, 949 nt
Filed under: Nocardiopsis sp. OAct577
Lineage: Bacteria; Bacillati; Actinomycetota; Actinomycetes; Streptosporangiales; Nocardiopsidaceae
Description: bacterial SSU rRNA
Rfam family: Bacterial small subunit ribosomal RNA
Source: RNAcentral